CACGUGGGCAACCUGCCCUUGAGACUGGGAUAACUUCGGGAAACCGGAGCUAAUACCGGAUAAUAUAAGGAACCUCCUGGUUCCUUAUUGAAAGAUGGUUUCGGCUAUCACUUAAGGAUGGGCCCGCGGCGCAUUAGCUAGUUGGUGAGGUAACGGCUCACCAAGGCGACGAUGCGUAGCCGACCUGAGAGGGUGAUCGGCCACACUGGGACUGAGACACGGCCCAGACUCCUACGGGAGGCAGCAGUAGGGAAUCUUCCACAAUGGACGAAAGUCUGAUGGAGCAACGCCGCGUGAGUGAUGAAGGCCUUCGGGUCGUAAAGCUCUGUUGUUAGGGAAGAACAAGUGCGAGAGUAACUGCUCGCACCUUGACGGUACCUAACCAGAAAGCCACGGCUAACUACGUGCCAGCAGCCGCGGUAAUACGUAGGUGGCAAGCGUUAUCCGGAAUUAUUGGGCGUAAAGCGCGCGCAGGUGGUUUCUUAAGUCUGAUGUGAAAGCCCACGGCUCAACCGUGGAGGGUCAUUGGAAACUGGGGAACUUGAGUGCAGAAGAGGAAA
RNAcentral lists this ribosomal RNA (560 nucleotides) under Bacillus sp. NH89-39. RNAcentral describes it as "bacterial SSU rRNA". It matches the Rfam family "Bacterial small subunit ribosomal RNA", at positions 114 to 660 of the family's 1533-position model. The record is from RNAcentral. Lineage: Bacteria; Bacillati; Bacillota; Bacilli; Caryophanales; Bacillaceae.